UACGUAGGGUGCGAGCGUUGUCCGGAAUUAUUGGGCGUAAAGAGCUCGUAGGUGGUUUGUCGCGUUGUUCGUGAAAACUCACAGCUUAACUGUGGGCGUGCGGGCGAUACGGGCAGACUGGAGUACUGCAGGGGAGACUGGAAUUCCUGGUGUAGCGGUGGAAUGCGCAGAUAUCAGGGGGAACACCGGUGGCGAAGGCGGGUCUCUGGGCAGUAACUGACGCUGAGGAGCGAAAGCGUGGGGAGCGAACAGG
This 253-nucleotide ribosomal RNA is filed under the name uncultured bacterium. RNAcentral's name for it is "partial 16S ribosomal RNA". It matches the Rfam family "Bacterial small subunit ribosomal RNA", at positions 524 to 776 of the family's 1533-position model. The record is from RNAcentral.